Molecule: long non-coding RNA, 1010 nt
Filed under: Brachypodium distachyon (stiff brome)
Lineage: Eukaryota; Viridiplantae; Streptophyta; Magnoliopsida; Poales; Poaceae
Description: long non-coding RNA (BDIS_LNC004907)
Source: RNAcentral
GUGAUGGAAGCGGAAGUCAUCGUACGUUGUGGUAGAUCGGUAGCUCUGAUACCAUAAAAACCAAGCUAUCGAGAGAGAUUGAUUAGGGUGGAACGCAAGCACAAACGGCCAGCCCCUUGUUCCUUUGAUAUUGCAUAUGCAUAGGUUACAGAUGGAGUCUCAAUACAACACGUGGUAAAAUCAAUAUACAAUUCUAACUAGAUCAAAACGUAAUCUACCUGUUAGUUUAACACUAGCAACUCGAGGAUCGGUUAGUUCGAGGUUUCUCAGAUCCGUGAGUGCAUAGGUGGGUUGUUGAGAUGUGUUUCUCCCCUAAAGUUGUUCUCGUUGGGUUUACCCAAAGAUCAAGACAUGAAGACGCACACGCAGAAACGAUUACACAAUUAUUUGGCUAAGGACGCGUAUCGUGUCUUUUAUUUUUCUUUUAUUUUUUUCUCACAAAUUCACGACCUGAUUACAAGCUAUGCUGACUACGCGUGUGUUUAUACACGCACGGCCAGGACACACCUAAUACUAUUCGGACUCCAACUCCAACUCGUACUUGAACCUAGCUUUACUCCUAACUCACACACGGGCAUGACUCUUAAUCCUACUUGACUAGCACUCUCAAACUCACCUAAUCCUGGUAGAACCCAAACUCAAGAUUAAUUCUAACAAUCUUCCCCAAAUCUUGAAGUUGUUGUCUUCAGCACUCCCCCGAUCUUGGCUUUUUCUUCAGCUUCACGACUUGCCGACUCAGCUCAACAUAUGAUCUUGACUCUCAGCCACGCUAACCUUGUGUACUACACCGUCCACUCCUAGCGCAAAACAUCCACAUGCUACUAAUCACAUAGUCUCAUGCAGGAAACAUGGCCUCAUUGAAGAGACUCAUCACUGGUUACCGCCUCACAAUACUCUUGAGCUUUCGUCUUCUUGCCGAGACACACAAAUGACAACCCGUCACCUUGUCUGCACGCACGUCUUCGCCCUCAGUGAUGCACCUCACCGGACAGCCCUUCGACUGUGACGCA